CUUCGCCGGCGACCGGCGCACGGGUGCGUAACGCGUAUCGAACCUACCCCUUUACUCGGGGAACAGCCUUUGCCGAAAAGCCAAAGAUUAAUGCCCCGAUGUUCCGCGCUUGCCGCAUGGCAAAUUCGGCAAAGAUUUAUUGGUAAAGGAUGGCGAUGCGUCCCAUUAGUUAGUUGGCGGGGUUAACGGCCCACCAAGACGACGAUGGUAGGGGUUCUGAGAGGAAGGUCCCCCACAUUGGAACUGAGACACGGGUCCCAAAACUCCUACGGGAGGCAGCAGUGAGGAAUAUUGGUCAAUGGGCGGAAGCCUGAACCAGCCAAGUAGCGUGAGGGAUGACUGCCCUAUGGGUUGUAAACCUCUUUCAUAAGGGAAUAAAAUACGGGACGUGUCCUGUUUUUGCAUGUACCUUAUGAAUAAGGACCGGCUAAUUCCGUG
RNAcentral lists this ribosomal RNA (438 nucleotides) under uncultured bacterium. RNAcentral's name for it is "bacterial SSU rRNA". It matches the Rfam family "Bacterial small subunit ribosomal RNA", at positions 83 to 507 of the family's 1533-position model. The record is from RNAcentral.